Molecule: long non-coding RNA, 1683 nt
Organism: Cavia porcellus (domestic guinea pig)
Lineage: Eukaryota; Metazoa; Chordata; Mammalia; Rodentia; Caviidae
Exons: 2
Source: RefSeq, a predicted model, not a curated record
UAUUAUAAUCAAGUAAAGAGAAAGUUUAUUAAGCAUUUAAAAAGUAUUAACAUCAACAAAUCUAGUAGAUAUGUAGAAAAAAAUUCUAUACCAACAGUAUAUUCAAACAUGCGUUUAUAUAGUCUUCUUCCUACUAGAAUCACAAAGGAAGUCUCAGCAGUUAUGAUAGGGUCUCAAAGGACAUGUUGCCAGGCUAUGGUUCAAUGAAAUUUGAAGUAACAAUGAAAAGAAAUUUAAAACAAUAAUAAUAAUUAGGAAUUUUUAAAAACUAGUAAAAUAGUUUCUAAAUAACUCAAGCAUUCAGGAGGAAUUCACAAUAGAAAUGACAAAAUAUUUAGAAGUAAAUGAUAAUGAAAGCAUGUCAUAUCAAACUGUGUACAUUUGUCGAGGAAAAAUAAAAAAGCAGAGAAGAUAUUUUUGGGAUAACUGGCAAGAUUUAAAAGAUGCCUAUAGUUUAGACAAUAGUACUAUAUUAAAUUUUUUGAGUUGUAUAAUUACACUGCAUAGUGAGUAAAUGUCUUUAUUCCCAGAAAAUUUACACUAAAAUAUAUGGGAAUAAAGAAAAAGAUGAUUGAAAUUUUUUAAUGGGAUCAAAUGAUAGGAGGAGAAUGAAAUCUGGGGAGGAAUAAAUCAUAUUUUAAAAUGUUAUUUUAGUAAUGGUCAAUCUGGAUGAAGGCUAUACAGGAGUUUUUAAACAUUAUUCUUGUCAUUUUUUUAGAAGUAUGAAUUUAUUGCUAUGUAAACAUUUUUAAAAACAAAGAAGCACCUGUAAGAUGCAGUUAAAGCUGAGGAAAGUUUAUUUCUAAAUCUAACACUAUCUUUUAUAAGAGUAAUGAUUUGCCAGACUUCAUUCCCUUCUGAGGUUUCCUUUUGCACCGAUUGGAUGAACCGGAAGGAAACUGUACAUUCUGUGAAUUAGCAAAGUUGCCCGCGACUCCUAUUGUGCAGUAUACGAAACAGCGUCUCACAGUUGCCAGCUCCAUUUGUUAGGAAUUGCCUUGGGGAUAAACACAGGCCAUGACUAAACAAUGAUGUCACACAAUUGUUUUAAAUAGCUGAACCAAAAAAAGCAACUUGUGCCACAUUCCAACUAGGUCAUAAAAAUAUAGUUAAGGAGCUUUGGUCUUAGGAUUUCUCUUAAUCCUUUUAUAACACUUCUAGUGUCUCCAUUCAUGUGGUAUAAUUCAAAACACAGAAAGCUAACCUCUUCUUAAUGUUUCCUGAGAAAUCUGCCUCCUGCCUUCAGAAGAGCGAUGGAGUGCCAACGCAGAGCCCAGAGCUCAUGUCCAGGCCCUUGGGAUCACGUGGAAAGGCCCUUGGUGGCAGAGGACAAGGCAGGAGUAUGAUGAACCACACCAGUGUCGAGGGAGGAAGAGAGGAAGGCAGAAGACACAGAAAGGUGGAGGAGCCGCAGAUGGUUUCAGAAGAGUUUUAAGGAUAGCUGCUGAAACUCUACCAGUCCUGACAAGUUCACAUGAUCUCCCUGUUGCCAGUAAGACUUUUCGCUUUGCUCUAAGUGAUGUCCUGUUUCCAGGGAGGCCUACAGCAAUGAUCCAGCCCGCCAUGGACCGAAACUUGAAACUGUGAACCCAAACAAAUCUUUCCUCACUUUAAGUUGUUAUCCCCAGGUAUUUAGUCACUGUGACAAAAAAACUAAUACAGUAUAUUUGUACUGAAACAUCA